Molecule: non-coding RNA, 907 nt
Organism: Nothobranchius furzeri (turquoise killifish)
Lineage: Eukaryota; Metazoa; Chordata; Actinopteri; Cyprinodontiformes; Nothobranchiidae
Source: RefSeq, a predicted model, not a curated record
AAUUCUGUUCAGGAGGUCACAUUUCAGGCUCUCCACAUCAUGUGUGACUGACUUUUACGUUAUAACAACGAUCACACACUAGGAAUGUUAUAAAGCGCCUAUAUAGGAGAUUCUUUUGUAUAUUAUCUGACUUUAUAAACUCCAACAACAAUGUGCUUCUAUUUUUUUUCAGGCUAAAUCUACCCAAGACACUGGUUGUCAGACUGAUUUAGCUGCAAGAAUGCACUUGUCCAGGCUGAUGUGAAACCUUCCCUGUAGCAAAGCCAGUCAGAAUGGAGUUCACAGCCGCAGUGUGUCUGGUGACCCACGGUGACCAUGAUGAAAAUUCAUCUUCCAGAAAGUCCCAGAGCGUCCAGACCCCCUGAAAAGACCAAGAUGUAAGGUGUCUGCUGUUGAUUCCAGCUUCCACCUCAGUGACAGUGCAAGCUCAGUGAACUGUUCAAGGUAAUAAAUAAAAAUUAAAACAUUUCAGAUUUUUUAAGAUAUUAACAAUUAAAUAAGUAUGUGAUUACAUCAUGACGGGGGCUACUGAUUCUGCCCCUGUGACACUUGGUGGUGACGUGUGAGCUGAUUCACCUGGAAAACAACUUUUACAUUAAAUAUUUUGUUUUUGCUAUCAAAAGUAAAUUAACUAAUAACCUGCAUUAUUGCAGGCCACUCAGCAAAAUAUGGACUCUACACCAUGAGGCAUGCACACAUUAAUAUUCUAUAAGAGCACAUAAGCAUGAGGAUGUCCUCACACACCUGUAACCUAUCAGCUCAUCUGGCAGAAUAGAGAGAGAAGAGACAACACCACAUCUCCUGUUCCUGGAAAGCCUUCAGCCAUCCUUUGAUGACUGAGAACCUCCAUCAGCUCUGUCUCCUGUCUGCCUACAAUUAUUAUAAUAAAUAUUGUGUUUGACAAGUU